GACGAACGCUGGCGGCGUGCUUAACACAUGCAAGUCGAACGCUGAAGCUCAGCUUUUGUUGGGUGGAUGAGUGGCGAACGGGUGAGUAACACGUGAGUAACCUGCCUCCUUCUUUGGGAUAACGCCCGGAAACGGGUGCUAAUACUGGAUAUUCACUGGUCUUCGCAUGGGGGUUGGUGGAAAGGGUUUUUCUGGUGGGGGAUGGGCUCGCGGCCUAUCAGCUUGUUGGUGGGGUGAUGGCCUACCAAGGCUUUGACGGGAAGCCGGCCUGAGAGGGUGACCGGUCACAUUGGGACUGAGAUACGGCCCAGACUCCUACGGGAGGCAGCAGUGGGGAAUAUUGCACAAUGGGCGCAAGCCUGAUGCAGCGACGCCGCGUGAGGGAUGGAGGCCUUCGGGUUGUGAACCUCUUUCGCUCAUGGUCAAGCCGCAACAAUGGUUGUGGUGAGGGUAGUGGGUAAAGAAGCGCCGGCUAACUACGUG
This 483-nucleotide ribosomal RNA is filed under the name uncultured bacterium. RNAcentral describes it as "partial 16S ribosomal RNA". It matches the Rfam family "Bacterial small subunit ribosomal RNA", at positions 28 to 507 of the family's 1533-position model. The record is from RNAcentral.